GGCGAGAGAGAGUGAGAGAUGCGAUGAGUGGCUGCUUCUGGGCUUUCGCCUUGUUCUGCGACGUUGUCUCCUUUGCUCUACCCCACUCUACGUUAUUGCCACGAUCCGGGAAAGAGAGAGGAAGAGAGGAGAGGGAGUGGGGAGUUCGGUCUGACGACCUCUCUCUGGGCUGAGCUUGGGUGGGGGAGAGGGAAACGGGAAAGGUUUGAGAUUUAUGGAUGGUAGAACCACAAAGGAUUUGGAAGAAAUGAAGAAGAUUGGUGGUAGAUCUUCUCUGACUUUGGCUGGCUUGCUUUCCUUGGGCCGACAGAAGAGAGUGAGCACACGCCGGCGAUGGCAGCAUGAUAGCGAUGCUGUUCCCGUUGCGUGCUCAUUUCUCUUUCUGUCAGCUUCCCAUGCCGCGUCCGCUCUCUUGCCUUCUCUUUCUUUCUCUUUAUUCUUUUUUUUUUGAAAGAGUUCUUUCUUUUUAUUCUUCUGUUUUAUGUGAUAAAAGAAAAAAAAGAUAGUAGUUAUCAUCGGCGAUUUUUUUCUAAAAAUAAAUAAAACUGUUCGAGAAAGGGCCACGCGCAGCGGCAGAGCCUUAUCUACUUCCUAUCUCGGGUCUAUCAUCGCUUUUAUGGCCGCUGCUUUUCUUUUGCCUUUAUCUUUGUCCGGGACGUCUCUUCCCACCAGGGGAGGGAGAGGGUUUUCCGAGGAGGAAGAUGAUGUAAGACUGUACAGUAUCCCCUCAAUGGAUUUUAUUUCAGAAUUAUCAUCCCUCGGGCCGUCUCUUCUGGCCGGGGGAGGGGAGGGAGAGUGUUUUCCGAGGAGGAAGAUGAUAACAAUUUUCAAAAUGAAAGGAAGGAAAUUGAGGCGAUGGAGCACGGAUGCGUGGCUUUGGAGAAAGAGCCUUCACCUUUCUCUCUCCUCGUUGGGAGCGGCCCGGAUCGAGGCGACGGUACACCUUUGCGCGAUGUGGUUUUUAACGGAAGUCACUGUUGACCACCCCUCCUCCCCCCCCGGCUCCUCUCUCUUUCUCUUCCCCCUUUCUUCACCUUUUUUUUGUUUUUUUUGUUUUUGUUUUUGACGAGAUUUCUUCUCCUAUCUCACCUCCAUGUUCUUUGGCCAGGACACGAGCCAUUGCACUGGGAGAGUCAAGCCAUGUUAAAGAUUGCAGGAAGCUAGCUAGGAACCUUUGGCCGUUCUCAUCUCGAACGUUAUAACUCGGAAUUUCAUUCGGGAAGAGCCGCGUCGUGCUUUGUUGCAGGCUUGCAGGCUUCCAGGGGCCAAGAUGGUAGGAGAUGGGGGCAGGAGAAGGACGGGUUCACAGUUAAUAAAGGACAGGAAGUGAUGUUCCUACGGUUUCUUAGCAGAUCUGGGAUUCGUCGGUUCUUUUCCCUCUCAUCUGAACCUUUGUUUUUUUUUUACUGAUUUGGCGGUGGUAUUAUUGCUACGGUACCUUAUUCCAUGGAGCUGUCUGCGGUCUUUCUAUUCUUGGAAAUAAAACUUUUGACCGUGGACAUCACAUGGUUACACCUGGAUUUUAUCAUUUUAUGCGCCAUUCUUUCUUCCCACAUUUACUCUCUCCUUUGUUCCGGUGCUAAAAAUAAGGAAAGAAACAAAAGAAAACGACCGUUACCGAAGGGCUUCUUUAUGCCUGCUGUUCUUGUUUCAUGCCCCACCAAGGUUCUAAUAGUUGGCACCAUUUAGUGCCCACUCUUUUGUUGUCCACUCUUUUCCUUUUGGUUUCUUUUUGAUUUGCAGGUGAAGGGAAUAAUUCAGUGGAAGACCUGGAAGGGAGGGGACCCUUUUGAAGGAUGCCGGAUGGUCCACAGUUGUAGCCUCUGGGAUCCGUGGAGGAUUUAGGUGCCGUCGUAAACUAUGGAAAUGGAACAUUUUUUGGAGCAUGUAUUUGUUCCCUUCUGACUUUCUGCAUAAAUCAAAACAAAUUAAAGUUUGUUCAUAGCAAGAGGACUGCCUGGGCUAACGGCUGUGGUCAUUGCCUCACCAAAGCUAUUUGACAACUCUCAAGGAGAGCUUGAGAAGGCCAGACGCCAUAAAAUUGUUCAUUAUCAGGGCACAUGGAUGAUGAGAGGAUACUUUUAUGUAACAAAACUUCUUGUUGGGGCUUGAUAAUGAUAUGAUUGAUUUUAUGGCUAUCACAUGGGUGCUUAGAGGACUGCCUCGGCUAAGUUCUAUAUAUCGUCAUUGUCUCACUAAAGCUAUUUGGCAACUCUGAAGGAGAGCUUGAGAAGGCCAGACAGUACUUUAUGACCAGCUAUCAUAAGAUAGGGAUUGAGUUACCUGAUGUUUUCUCUUCUAUCAACAAUGUAUCAGGGCACAUGGAUGAUGAGAAUAUAUUCGAAUGUAACAAAGCUUCUUGUUGGCCCUUGGUGAUAUGGUGGCUUUUACUUCUGUUCGUGUCAUGCAGAAGGUGUCCAGGAUCUGCUAUCAGGUUACUUGGAAAUAUCAAGGCUAGCCGGAUAUGGAGGGGGUUUGUUCUCCCCACAGCAUGAGUUUCCGCAUUGUCAUUAAAUCUCAAGCAGUAGUAAAAUUUAGAAGAAUAUUGAUCAACUAAUGUAUCAGUAGCCGUAUUGGUAAUUUGCUGUACCAAUCUAGCUAGCUGGUUUACUUUUUUAAACUAAAUGUCGUGCUCAGAAUUAUCAAUGAUGAAAUCUUCUUUGACAUUCUUCUUGAAAAUCAUGGUUUACUAUUCAUUUUGAGGUGGAGACAAGUUAAUAUAA
This is a non-coding RNA of Phoenix dactylifera (date palm), 2723 nucleotides long. Lineage: Eukaryota; Viridiplantae; Streptophyta; Magnoliopsida; Arecales; Arecaceae. The record is from RefSeq and is a predicted model, not a curated record.